This 492-nucleotide ribosomal RNA is filed under the name uncultured bacterium. Its description in RNAcentral is "partial 16S ribosomal RNA". It matches the Rfam family "Bacterial small subunit ribosomal RNA", at positions 29 to 507 of the family's 1533-position model. The record is from RNAcentral.
AGUGAACGCUGGCGGUAGGCCUAACACAUGCAAGUCGAACGGCAGCACAGUAAGAGCUUGCUCUUACGGGUGGCGAGUGGCGGACGGGUGAGGAAUACAUCGGAAUCUACUUUUUCGUGGGGGAUAACGUAGGGAAACUUACGCUAAUACCGCAUACGACCUACGGGUGAAAGCAGGGGAUCUUCGGACCUUGCGCGAUUGAAUGAGCCGAUGUCGGAUUAGCUAGUUGGCGGGGUAAAGGCGCACCAAGGCGACGAUCCGUAGCUGGUCUGAGAGGAUGAUCAGGCACACUGGCACUGAGACACGGCCCAGACUCCUACGGGGGGCAGCAGUGGGGAAUAUUGGACAAUGGGCGAAAGCCUGAUCCAGCCAUACCGCGUGAGUGAAGAAGGCCUUAGGGUUGUAAAGCCCUGUUGUUCGGAAAGAAAUGAAGCAGUUUAAUACCCCGCUGUUCUGACGGUACCCAAAGAAUAAGCACCGGCUAACUUCGUG